This 74-nucleotide transfer RNA is filed under the name Telmatobacter bradus. RNAcentral's name for it is "tRNA-Gln". It matches the Rfam family "tRNA". Rfam says of the family: Transfer RNA (tRNA) molecules are approximately 80 nucleotides in length. Their secondary structure includes four short double-helical elements and three loops (D, anti-codon, and T loops). The record is from RNAcentral. RNAcentral also lists the same sequence under 3 other names. Lineage: Bacteria; Pseudomonadati; Acidobacteriota; Terriglobia; Terriglobales; Acidobacteriaceae.
UGCCCCCUCGUUCAAUGGUAGGACAGCCGCCUCUGGAGCGGCAUAUCGGGGUUCGACUCCCUGGGGGGCAGCCA